GCGCCUGUAGCUCAAUUGGAUCAGAGCAUUUGCCUACGGAGCAAAAGGCUGGGCGUUCGAGUCGCCCCAGGCGCA
This 75-nucleotide transfer RNA is filed under the name Candidatus Desantisbacteria bacterium CG1_02_49_89. RNAcentral describes it as "tRNA-Arg". It matches the Rfam family "tRNA". From Rfam's summary of the family: Transfer RNA (tRNA) molecules are approximately 80 nucleotides in length. Their secondary structure includes four short double-helical elements and three loops (D, anti-codon, and T loops). RNAcentral also lists the same sequence under 3 other names. The record is from RNAcentral. Lineage: Bacteria; Candidatus Desantisiibacteriota.